Non-coding RNA from Mycena polygramma, 123 nucleotides. The record is from the annotation of a GenBank genome assembly. NCBI's taxonomy places the organism in Eukaryota, Fungi, Basidiomycota, Agaricomycetes, Agaricales, Mycenaceae.
GGUUGGAUGGCCGAGCGGUCUAAGGCGCCAGACUAAGGAUCAGCUUCCUCAGGGACCACUUGCCAGGAUUCAUUUCCAGUAAUCUGGUCCGAAAGGGCGUGGGUUCGAAUCCCACUCAAAUCA